UACGAAGGGGGCUAGCGUUGCUCGGCAUUACUGGGCGUAAAGCGCGCGCAGGCGGUCUUCCAAGUCAGUGGUGAAAGCCCGGAGCUCAACUCCGGAACUGCCAUUGAAACUGUUAGACUUGAGGACGAGAGAGGUGAGUGGAAUUCCCAGUGUAGAGGUGAAAUUCGUAGAUAUUGGGAAGAACACCGGUGGCGAAGGCGGCUCACUGGCUCGUAUCUGACGCUCAGGCGCGAUAGCGUGGGGAUCAAACAGG
This 253-nucleotide ribosomal RNA is filed under the name uncultured bacterium. RNAcentral describes it as "partial 16S ribosomal RNA". It matches the Rfam family "Bacterial small subunit ribosomal RNA", at positions 524 to 776 of the family's 1533-position model. The record is from RNAcentral.